Molecule: ribosomal RNA, 1079 nt
Filed under: Elbamycella rosea
Lineage: Eukaryota; Fungi; Ascomycota; Sordariomycetes; Torpedosporales; Juncigenaceae
Description: SSU rRNA
Rfam family: Eukaryotic small subunit ribosomal RNA
Source: RNAcentral
AAGCCAUGCAUGUCUAAGUGUAAGCAAUUAUACAGCGAAACUGCGAAUGGCUCAUUAUAUAAGUUAUCGUUUAUUUGAUAGUGCCUUACUACAUGGAUAACCGUGGUAAUUCUAGAGCUAAUACAUGCUAAAAAUCCCGACUUCGGAAGGGAUGUAUUUAUUAGAUUAAAAGCCAAUGCCCUUCUGGGCUAACUGGUGAUUCAUAAUAACUUCUCGAAUCGCACGGCCUUGCGCCGGCGAUGGUUCAUUCAAAUUUCUUCCCUAUCAACUUUCGAUGUUUGGGUAGUGGCCAAACAUGGUGGCAACGGGUAACGGAGGGUUAGGGCUCGACCCCGGAGAAGUAGCCUGAGAAACGGCUUCUACAUCCAAGGAAGGCAGCAGGCGCGCAAAUUACUCAAUGCUGAUACAGCGAAGUAGUGACGAUAAAUACUGAUACAGGGCUCUUUUGGGUCUUGUAAUCGGAAUGAGUACAAUUUAAACCCCUUAACGAGGAACAAUUGGAGGGCAAGUCUGGUGCCAGCAGCCGCGGUAAUUCCAGCUCCAAUAGCGUAUAUUAAAGUUGUUGUGGUUAAAAAGCUCGUAGUUGAACCUUGGGCCUGGCUGGCCGGUCCGCCUCACCGCGUGUACUGGUCCGGCCGGGCCUUUCCCUCUGUGGAACCCCAUGCCCUUAACUGGGCGUGGCGGGGAAACAGGACUUUUACUUUGAAAAAAUUAGAGUGCUCCAGGCAGGCCUAUGCUCGAAUACAUUAGCAUGGAAUAAUGAAAUAGGACGCGUGGUUCUAUUUUGUUGGUUUCUAGGACCGCCGUAAUGAUUAAUAGGGACAGUCGGGGGCAUCAGUAUUCAAUUGUCAGAGGUGAAAUUCUUGGAUUUAUUGAAGACUAACUACUGCGAAAGCAUUUGCCAAGGAUGUUUUCAUUAAUCAGGAACGAAAGUUAGGGGAUCGAAGACGAUCAGAUACCGUCGUAGUCUUAACCAUAAACUAUGCCGACUAGGGAUCGGGCGAUGUUACUUAUUGACUCGCUCGGCACCUUACGAGAAAUCAAAGUGCUUGGGCUCCAGGGGGAAUAUGGUCGCAAGG